AAGAUGACACUUCGAGGCACCGUUUCUAUGGUUCAUCACUACAGAAGCUUCUCUGGACGUGUAAUGCACAGGAAACCAGGCAGAGGAGGCAUGGGGCACUCUCCGGAACAAGAAGCCAGCUCCUGGAGUUGCUUUGCUGCAACUGACAUUCCCCAUUGAGGACCAUUCUCUUCCUUCGGAAGAGGGAAAGUGAGAGAAUGAACUCUGAGUGGU
This 213-nucleotide small nucleolar RNA is filed under the name Aotus nancymaae (Ma's night monkey). RNAcentral describes it as "Small nucleolar RNA U3 (ENSANAG00000010553.1)". It matches the Rfam family "Small nucleolar RNA U3". From Rfam's summary of the family: Small nucleolar RNAs (snoRNAs) are involved in the processing and modification of rRNA in the nucleolus. There are two main classes of snoRNAs: the box C/D class, and the box H/ACA class. U3 snoRNA is a member of the box C/D class. Lineage: Eukaryota; Metazoa; Chordata; Mammalia; Primates; Aotidae. The record is from Rfam by way of RNAcentral.